Molecule: small nuclear RNA, 119 nt
Filed under: Trichobilharzia regenti
Lineage: Eukaryota; Metazoa; Platyhelminthes; Trematoda; Strigeidida; Schistosomatidae
Description: U5 spliceosomal RNA
Rfam family: U5 spliceosomal RNA
About the family: U5 RNA is a component of both types of known spliceosome. The precise function of this molecule is unknown, though it is known that the 5' loop is required for splice site selection and p220 binding, and that both the 3' stem-loop and the Sm site are important for Sm protein binding and cap methylation.
Source: Rfam by way of RNAcentral
UGACUUUGGCGUCUCUUCAAUUGUGGAUAAAUCUUUCACCGUUUACUAAAGAUUUCCAUGGGGAGGCACAAUACAAUGAGUCUUGCCUCAUUUUUUUCAGCUCUGUCUUCGGACAGAGU